GACGAACGCUGGCGGCGUGCUUAACACAUGCAAGUCGAACGGAAAGGCCCUGCUUUUGUGGGGUGCUCGAGUGGCGAACGGGUGAGUAACACGUGAGUAACCUGCCCUUGACUUUGGGAUAACUUCAGGAAACUGGGGCUAAUAUCGGAUAGGAGCUCCUGCUGCAUGGUGGGGGUUGGAAAGUUUCGGCGGUUGGGGCUGGUCUCGCGGCUUAUCAGCUUGUUGGUGGGGUAGUGGCUUACCAAGGCUUUGACGGGUAGCCGGCCUGAGAGGGUGACCGGCCACAUUGGGACUGAGAUACGGCCCAGACUCCUACGGGCGGCAGCAGUGGGGAAUAUUGCACAAUGGGCGGAAGCCUGAUGCAGCAACGCCGCGUGCGGGAUGACGUCCUUCGGGUUGUAAACCGCUUUCGCCUGUGACGAAGCGUGAGUGACGGUAAUGGGUAAAGAAGCACCGGCUAACUACGUG
RNAcentral lists this ribosomal RNA (468 nucleotides) under uncultured bacterium. RNAcentral describes it as "partial 16S ribosomal RNA". It matches the Rfam family "Bacterial small subunit ribosomal RNA", at positions 28 to 507 of the family's 1533-position model. The record is from RNAcentral.